This 433-nucleotide ribosomal RNA is filed under the name uncultured bacterium. RNAcentral describes it as "partial 16S ribosomal RNA". It matches the Rfam family "Bacterial small subunit ribosomal RNA", at positions 29 to 507 of the family's 1533-position model. The record is from RNAcentral.
AACGAACGCUGGCGGCAGGCCUAACACAUGCAAGUCGAGCGAGGACUUCGGUCCUAGCGGCGGACGGGUGAGUAACGCGUGGGAACGUGCCCUUUGCUUCGGAAUAGCCCUGGGAAACUGGGAGUAAUACCGGAUGAGCCCUUUGGGGGAAAGAUUUAUCGGCGAAGGAUCGGCCCGCGUUGGAUUAGGUGGUUGGUGGGGUAAUGGCCUACCAAGCCGACGAUCCAUAGCUGGUUUGAGAGGAUGAUCAGCCACACUGGGACUGAGACACGGCCCAGACUCCUACGGGAGGCAGCAGUGGGGAAUCUUAGACAAUGGGGGAAACCCUGAUCUAGCCAUGCCGCGUGAGCGAUGAAGGCCUUAGGGUUGUAAAGCUCUUUCAGCUGGGAAGAUAAUGACGGUACCAGCAGAAGAAGCCCCGGCUAACUCCGUG